CCCUUAGAUGUUCUGGGCUGCACGCGCGCUACACUGAUGCGCUCAACGAGUUUAUGACCUUGCCUGGAAAGGUUGGGUAAUCUUCUUAAAACGCAUCGUGAUGGGGAUAGAUUAUUGCAAUUAUUAAUCUUCAACGAGGAAUUCCUAGUAAGCGCGAGUCAUCAGCUCGUGCUGAUUACGUCCCUGCCCUUUGUACACACCGCCCGUCGCACCUACCGAUUGAAUGGUCCGGUGAAAUCUUCGGAUCUGAGAGAUGUCUGAUUAAUUUCGGACGCCUUUUGGAAAAGUUGCUUAAACCUUACCAUUUAGAGGAAGGUGAAGUCGUANCA
RNAcentral lists this ribosomal RNA (329 nucleotides) under uncultured eukaryote. RNAcentral describes it as "partial 18S ribosomal RNA". It matches the Rfam family "Eukaryotic small subunit ribosomal RNA", at positions 1470 to 1796 of the family's 1831-position model. The record is from RNAcentral.